This 492-nucleotide ribosomal RNA is filed under the name uncultured bacterium. Its description in RNAcentral is "partial 16S ribosomal RNA". It matches the Rfam family "Bacterial small subunit ribosomal RNA", at positions 29 to 507 of the family's 1533-position model. The record is from RNAcentral.
AGUGAACGCUGGCGGUAGGCCUAACACAUGCAAGUCGAACGGCAGCACAGUAAGAGCUUGCUCUUACGGGUGGCGAGUGGCGGACGGGUGAGGAAUACAUCGGAAUCUACUUUUUCGUGGGGGAUAACGUAGGGAAACUUACGCUAAUACCGCAUACGACCUACGGGUGAAAGCAGGGGAUCUUCGGACCUUGCGCGUUUGAAUGAGCCGAUGUCGGAUUAGCUAGUUGGCGGGGUAAAGGCCCACCAAGGCGACGAUCCGUAGCUGGUCUGAGAGGAUGAUCAGCCACACUGGAACUGAGACACGGUCCAGACUCCUACGGGAGGCAGCAGUGGGGAAUAUUGGCCAAUGGGCGCAAGCCUGAUCCAGCCAUACCGCGUGGGUGAAGAAGGCCUUCGGGUUGUAAAGCCCUUUUGUUGGGAAAGAAAAGCAGCAGGUUAAUACCCCGCUGUUCUGACGGUACCCAAAGAAUAAGCACCGGCUAACUUCGUG